Molecule: ribosomal RNA, 549 nt
Filed under: Enterobacter hormaechei
Lineage: Bacteria; Pseudomonadati; Pseudomonadota; Gammaproteobacteria; Enterobacterales; Enterobacteriaceae
Also listed under: 1 other name
Description: partial 23S ribosomal RNA
Rfam family: Bacterial large subunit ribosomal RNA
Source: RNAcentral
GGUUAAGCGACUAAGCGUACACGGUGGAUGCCCUGGCAGUCAGAGGCGAUGAAGGACGUGCUAAUCUGCGAAAAGCGCCGGCGAGGUGAUAUGAACCCUUGACCCGGCGAUGUCCGAAUGGGGAAACCCAGUGCAAUCCGUUGCACUAUCGUUAACUGAAUACAUAGGUUAACGAGGCGAACCGGGGGAACUGAAACAUCUAAGUACCCCGAGGAAAAGAAAUCAACCGAGAUUCCCCCAGUAGCGGCGAGCGAACGGGGAGCAGCCCGGAGUCUGAAUCAGUUUGUGUGUUAGUGGAACGGUCUGGAAAGUCCGACGGUACAGGGUGAUAGUCCCGUACACGAAAGCACACUUGCUGUGAACUCGAAGAGUAGGGCGGGACACGUGGUAUCCUGUCUGAAUAUGGGGGGACCAUCCUCCAAGGCUAAAUACUCCUGACUGACCGAUAGUGAACCAGUACCGUGAGGGAAAGGCGAAAAGAACCCCGGCGAGGGGAGUGAAAAAGAACCUGAAACCGUGUACGUACAAGCAGUGGGAGCCUCUUUAUGG